Corticium candelabrum is the source of this 101-nucleotide long non-coding RNA. RefSeq lists it as uncharacterized. Lineage: Eukaryota; Metazoa; Porifera; Homoscleromorpha; Homosclerophorida; Plakinidae. The record is from RefSeq and is a predicted model, not a curated record. The transcript is spliced from 3 exons.
UUACUUGUACAUGAUGAUGUCAGUGACAAUCACACCUGUGUGACACCAACAAGAAGAAAUUUAAAAGUUGUUCCGCUUCACAUUUUACUUUGGGCUUGGAU